This 301-nucleotide ribosomal RNA is filed under the name uncultured bacterium. RNAcentral describes it as "partial 16S ribosomal RNA". It matches the Rfam family "Bacterial small subunit ribosomal RNA", at positions 509 to 807 of the family's 1533-position model. The record is from RNAcentral.
CAGUAGCCACGGGAAUACGUAGGUGGCAAGCGUUGUCCGGAAUUAUUGGGCGUAAAGGGCUCGCAGGCGGUUUCUUAAGUCUGAUGUGAAAGCCCCCGGCUCAACCGGGGAGGGUCAUUGGAAACUGGGAAACUUGAGUGCAGAAGAGGAGAGUGGAAUUCCACGUGUAGCGGUGAAAUACGUAGAGAUGUGGAGGAACACCAGUGGCGAAGGCGACUCUCUGGUCUGUAACUGACGCUGAGGAGCGAAAGCGUGGGGAGCGAACAGGAUUAGAUACCCGAGUAGUCCCUGUCUCUUAUAC